This is a small nucleolar RNA of Phragmites australis (common reed), 139 nucleotides long. RefSeq annotates it as small nucleolar RNA Z247. Lineage: Eukaryota; Viridiplantae; Streptophyta; Magnoliopsida; Poales; Poaceae. The record is from RefSeq and is a predicted model, not a curated record. The transcript has a single exon.
CCACUUCGCGAAGAUAAAGUCAUCUCCUACAUCCUCACAGGGUUAGAUGCAGAAUACAACCCUCUUGUUACAUCGAUGACAACUAGAGUAGAUGGCAUCAACCUCAAUGAACUUUAUGCUCAUCUUCUCUCCUUUGAGG